Molecule: non-coding RNA, 185 nt
Organism: Oryza glaberrima (African rice)
Lineage: Eukaryota; Viridiplantae; Streptophyta; Magnoliopsida; Poales; Poaceae
Source: Rfam
CAUAAUCUAUACAUUGUGUGUCUAACAUUUGACUGACCGUCUUAUCUGAAUUUUUUUAUGAUUAGUAUUUUUGUUGUUAUUAAAUGAUAAAACAUGAAUAGUAUUUUAUAUGUGACUUAUUUUUUAAAAAAAUUAAAUAAGACGGACGGUCAAACGUUAGACAGAAACUCACGGAUGAACAUAUU